ACGCUGGCGGCGCGCCUAACACAUGCAAGUCGAACGAGCGAGAGAGAGCUUGCUUUCUCGAGCGAGUGGCGAACGGGUGAGUAACGCGUGAGGAACCUGCCUCAAAGAGGGGGACAACAGUUGGAAACGACUGCUAAUACCGCAUGACGCAUAGAGGUCGCAUGAUCUUUAUGCCAAAGAUUUAUCGCUUCAAGAUGGCCUCGCGUCUGAUUAGCUGGUUGGCGGGGUAACGGCCCACCAAGGCGACGAUCAGUAGCCGGACUGAGAGGUUGAACGGCCACAUUGGGACUGAGAUACGGCCCAGACUCCUACGGGAGGCAGCAGUGGGGAAUAUUGGGCAAUGGGCGCAAGCCUGACCCAGCAACGCCGCGUGAAGGAAGAAGGCUUUCGGGUUGUAAACUUCUUUUAAGAGGGAAGAGCAGAAGACGGUACCUCUAGAAUAAGCCACGGCUAACUACGUG
RNAcentral lists this ribosomal RNA (461 nucleotides) under uncultured bacterium. Its description in RNAcentral is "bacterial SSU rRNA". It matches the Rfam family "Bacterial small subunit ribosomal RNA", at positions 33 to 507 of the family's 1533-position model. The record is from RNAcentral.